GGAUAUAGCUCAGUUGGUAGAGUGCUUGCCUUGUACAAGGCCCUGGGUUCAAUCCCUAGCACCA
RNAcentral lists this transfer RNA (64 nucleotides) under Marmota monax (woodchuck). RNAcentral's name for it is "tRNA.Gln". Lineage: Eukaryota; Metazoa; Chordata; Mammalia; Rodentia; Sciuridae. The record is from RNAcentral.